GGUAUUGAGAGUGUACUGGAUUUAACGGUCUACUGUUACAAGGUAUUGAGAGUGUACUGGAUGUAACAGUCUACUGCUACAAGGUAUUGAGAGUGUAUUGGAUGUAACGGUCUACUGAUACAAGGUACUGAGAGUGUACUGGGUGUCUAUUGACGCUACAACAGGGUACAAAGAUAAC
This is a long non-coding RNA of Haliotis rubra (blacklip abalone), 178 nucleotides long. RefSeq lists it as uncharacterized. NCBI's taxonomy places the organism in Eukaryota, Metazoa, Mollusca, Gastropoda, Lepetellida, Haliotidae. The transcript has 3 exons. The record is from RefSeq and is a predicted model, not a curated record.